CCUACGGGAGGCAGCAGUGAGGAAUAUUGGUCAAUGGACGAGAGUCUGAACCAGCCAAGUAGCGUGAAGGAUGACUGCCCUAUGGGUUGUAAACUUCUUUUAUAAAGGAAUAAAACGAGGCACGUGUGCCUUUUUGUAUGUACUUUAUGAAUAAGGAUCGGCUAACUCCGUGCCAGCAGCCGCGGUAAUACGGAGGAUUCGAGCGUUAUCCGGAUUUAUUGGGUUUAAAGGGAGCGUAGAUGGGUUGUUAAGUCAGUUGUGAAAGUUUGCGGCUCAACCGUAAAAUUGCAAUUGAUACUGGCAGUCUUGAGUACAGUUGAGGUAGGCGGAAUUCGUGGUGUAGCGGUGAAAUGCUUAGAUAUCACGAAGAACCCCGAUUGCGAAGGCAGCUUACUAAACUGUGACUGACAUUGAUGCUCGAAAGUGUGGGUAUCAAACAGGAUUAGAUACCCUAGUAGUC
This 460-nucleotide ribosomal RNA is filed under the name uncultured bacterium. RNAcentral's name for it is "partial 16S ribosomal RNA". It matches the Rfam family "Bacterial small subunit ribosomal RNA", at positions 338 to 795 of the family's 1533-position model. The record is from RNAcentral.